Molecule: microRNA precursor, 92 nt
Filed under: Otolemur garnettii (small-eared galago)
Lineage: Eukaryota; Metazoa; Chordata; Mammalia; Primates; Galagidae
Description: microRNA 92a-2 (ENSOGAG00000030865.1)
Rfam family: mir-92 microRNA precursor family (bases 6-85)
About the family: This family represents the microRNA precursor mir-92. Human miR-92 has two predicted hairpin precursor sequences: mir-92-1 on chromosome 13 and mir-92-2 on chromosome X. miR-92 has also been cloned from mouse embryonic stem cells. The mature sequence is excised from the 3' arm of the hairpin.
Source: RNAcentral
UGCUCAUUCAUCCACGGGUGGGGAUUUGUUGCAUUACUUGUGUUCUAUAUAAAGUAUUGCACUUGUCCCGGCCUGUGGAAGAAAGGAGGAUU